RNAcentral lists this ribosomal RNA (468 nucleotides) under uncultured bacterium. RNAcentral describes it as "partial 16S ribosomal RNA". It matches the Rfam family "Bacterial small subunit ribosomal RNA", at positions 28 to 507 of the family's 1533-position model. The record is from RNAcentral.
GACGAACGCUGGCGGCGUGCCUAACACAUGCAAGUCGAACGGAAAGGCCCUGCUUUUGUGGGCUGCUCGAGUGGCGAACGGGUGAGUAACCCGUGAGUAACCUGUCCUUCACUUUGGGAUAACUUCAGGACACUGGGGCUAAUCCCGCAUAGGAGCUCCUGCUGCAUGGUGGGGGUUGGAAAGUUUCGGCGGUUGGGGAUGGACUCGCGCCCUAUCACCUUGUUGGUGGGGUAGUGGCUUACCAUGACUUUGACGGGUAGCCGGCCUGAGAGGAUGAGCAGCCACGUUGGGACUGGAAUACGGCGCAGACCCGUACGGGAGGGAAGAGAGGGGAAGAGUGCACAAGGGGCGGAAGGCUGAUGUGGCAACGCCGCGUGCGGGAUGAGGUCAAUCGGUUUGUAAACCACUUUCCUCUUUGACGAAGCGUUAAUGACGGUAAUGGGUAAAUAAGCUCCGGCUAACUACGUG